Molecule: ribosomal RNA, 253 nt
Filed under: uncultured bacterium
Lineage: Bacteria
Description: partial 16S ribosomal RNA
Rfam family: Bacterial small subunit ribosomal RNA
Source: RNAcentral
UACGUAGGGACCGAGCGUUGUCCGGAUUCAUUGGGCGUAAAGAGCUCGUAGGCGGCUGCUCAAGUCGAAUGUGAAAACUCGAGGCUCAACCUCGAGCCUGCAUUCGAUACUGGGCGGCUAGAGUCUGGUAGGGGGAUCUGGAAUUCCUGGUGUAGCGGUGGAAUGCGCAGAUAUCAGGAGGAACACCGGUGGCGAAGGCGGGAUCCUGGGCCAGUACUGACGCUGAGGAGCGAAAGCAUGGGGAGCAAACAGG